GACGAACGCUGGCGGCGUGCUUAACACAUGCAAGUCGAACGGAAAGACCCUGCUUUUGUGGGGUGCUCGAGUGGCGAACGGGUGAGUAACACGUGAGUAACCUGCCCUUGACUUUGGGUUAACUUCAGGAAACUGGGGCUAAUACCGGAUAGGAGCUCCUGCUGCAUGGUGGGGGUUGGAAAGUUUCGGCGGUUGGGGGUGGACUCGCGGCUUAUCAGCUUGUUGGUGGGGUAGUGGCUUACCAAGGCUUUGACGGGUAGCCGGCCUGAGAGGGUGACCGGCCACAUUGGGACUGAGAUACGGCCCAGACUCCUACGGGAGGCAGCAGUGGGGAAUAUUGCACAAUGGGCGGAAGCCUGAUGCAGCAACGCCGCGUGCGGGAUGACGGCCUUCGGGUUGUAAACCGCUUUCGCCUGUGACGAAGCGUGAGUGACGGUAAUGGGUAAAGAAGCACCGGCUAACUACGUG
This 468-nucleotide ribosomal RNA is filed under the name uncultured bacterium. Its description in RNAcentral is "partial 16S ribosomal RNA". It matches the Rfam family "Bacterial small subunit ribosomal RNA", at positions 28 to 507 of the family's 1533-position model. The record is from RNAcentral.